AUUGAACGCUGGCGGCGUGCCUAACACAUGCAAGUCGAGCGGUAACAGGUGUAGCAAUACAUGCUGACGAGCGGCGAACGGGUGAGUAAUGCUUCGGAAUCUACCCAAUGGUGGGGAAUAACCAGCCGAAAGGCUGGCUAAUACCGCAUACGUCCCACGGGAGAAAGCAGGGGAUCGCAAGACCUUGCGCCAAUGGAUGAGCCGAAGUCGGAUUAGCUAGNGGUAGGGUAACGGCCUACCAAGGCGACGGUCCGUAGCUGGUCUGAGAGGACGACCAGCCACACUGGGACUGAGACACGGCCCAGACUCCUACGGGAGGCAGCAGUGGGGAAUAUUGGACAAUGGGGGAAACCCUGAUCCAGCGACGCCGCGUGUGUGAAGAAGGCCUGCGGGUUGUAAAGCAC
Molecule: ribosomal RNA, 404 nt
Filed under: uncultured bacterium
Lineage: Bacteria
Description: bacterial SSU rRNA
Rfam family: Bacterial small subunit ribosomal RNA
Source: RNAcentral